This 271-nucleotide unclassified non-coding RNA is filed under the name Hevea brasiliensis (rubber tree). The record is from RNAcentral. Lineage: Eukaryota; Viridiplantae; Streptophyta; Magnoliopsida; Malpighiales; Euphorbiaceae.
UUAUAAGGAAGCUAAGGCGGGAGAAUAAGGAGGGAGAGAGGAAUGAUCUCAAUCAGAAGACGAAUAUGGGAACAGAAGAUAAAGAGAAUCCAAGUAAAAUGGCAAUACAAAGUGACAAAAGGAAGGGAAAUCAAAUUGUAGAGGGAAGUAACAAGAAAAUUUGUCUCAACAGCUCUCACUAUGACAGGGUGGAGGAGGCCAGCCCCGAUUGGCCCCAAGGAAACAAAUGAGGCUUAUGAGCUGGAGCUGUCAGGGUGUGGGGAACCCCCUG